UACGGGGGGGGCAAGCGUUGUUCGGAAUUACUGGGCGUAAAGGGCUCGUAGGCGGCCAACUAAGUCGGAUGUGAAAUCCCCAGGCUUAACCUGGGAACUGCAUCCGAUACUGGAUGGCUUGAAUCCGGGAGAGGGAUGCAGAAUUCCAGGUGUAGCGGUGAAAUGCGUAGAUAUCUGGAGGAAUACCGGUGGCGAAGGCGGCAUCCUGGACCGGCAUUGACGCUGAGUGAGCGAAAGCGUGGGGAGCGAACAGG
RNAcentral lists this ribosomal RNA (254 nucleotides) under uncultured bacterium. RNAcentral's name for it is "partial 16S ribosomal RNA". It matches the Rfam family "Bacterial small subunit ribosomal RNA", at positions 524 to 776 of the family's 1533-position model. The record is from RNAcentral.